Molecule: long non-coding RNA, 25410 nt
Filed under: Oryza sativa (Asian cultivated rice)
Lineage: Eukaryota; Viridiplantae; Streptophyta; Magnoliopsida; Poales; Poaceae
Description: long non-coding RNA (OSAT_LNC000369)
Source: RNAcentral
GAUUAUUGCAAGGCAAGUCACACAGAUCCCAAACACGAUUCCUUUGAGCAUGUUGAUCCUAUAUUUAAAUUCUCUAUUUAUUUCAACUGUGCAUUUAUUUUCGAAUGUCACCGGGUGGUGUGAACCUAUUCCUUUGUUAUGGCCAAUUUGCAUUGAAUGCCCUAUUCCUUGAUACCUUGGGUAAUAAAUUGAUUAGCUUGAACCUUAUGUAUUGGUUUGGUUCAGCUAAAUGCUAUAUAUAUACUUGCUUAGCCAUGCCUAGAAACAUUAGUUCAUUAAUGGGAUGAAUCCUACUACAUUAUUAUUUAUGGUUAUAUUUAGGGGCAAUUUCGUUUCUGCCCCUAAUUUGAUGUCUAAUAUUGAUUUUACCCUUAUUUUUUAGGGUUUUCGUUUUUACCCUCAUUUUUUUUAACCGAACGCUUGUUUUGCCCUUACCUUGGAUGAUAAAAUUAACGGUGUUAAGUAAUUGACAAAAUGACAUUUAUACCCUCUCAUGUAUGUUCAUUAAUUGUGUUUUUGCCCUCAUUUUAUACAUAUAGCUUUGAAACUUUAUUUUUGGAGUAUAUUUAAAACUAGAUGAUGCACAUUGACUAAUAUAACAAUUUGGAAAAAUUCUGUAUUUGAUUGAAUUUUGACAAAAUUUCAGCAUUUUGAUAGAACUUAAACAAAAUUUUGGCAACAUUAUGUAAAAUGUAAUUAUCUGUUCUCUUUAGAUAUUAGUCAAUGUGCUUCAUUUAAUUUUAAAUAUACUCACAAAAAUAAAGUUCUAAAGCUACAUGCAUAAAAUAGGGGCAAAGAUAUAAUUAAUGAACAGAGAUAUGAGAGGGUAUAAAUGUCCUUUUGCUAAUUACUUAACACCGUUAACUUAACCAUCCAAAGUAGGGGCAAAACGAUAGUUCGGUUCAAAAAAGUGGGGGCAAAAACGAAAACCCUAAAAAGUAGGGGUAAAAUCAAUAUUAGACAACAAAGUAGGGUUAGAAACGAAAUUGUCCCUUAUAUUUAAUGGUAGCUCACGAUGGUUAAUCGUGUUAUGAUAAUUAAUUGAUAAUUAAAACUUGAUAAUGGUGGGUUGUGAGCACAUGGUUUUGAAGGUCGUGCUCAUGACAAUUAAGGACCAGUACGCGAGCUACUGUUGUGAGACAUUAACCGUGCCAACCACAAGCCAGCGUGGGCAACGGCUUUACCUUUUGUAUAGUAUGGUACAUUGCGGGGCACCAGACUGUGAAGCGGCGAGAAGUCCGUGGGGGUCACUGGGAGUCCACGCCUCUGGUUAUUGAGGGGGUGAUUAUGAUCCAGGAAUGGUGCACUGUGGUGGAUUGUGUUGUGCAAGGGGUACUGUCACAGUUCCUAUCUGAGAUAUCGUGGUGGUAUUGAGGCGCAUGGUAACAUGUUGUGGAGCUGUGUCUUGUGGGUACAGUGGUACAUCUCUGGCCAGAGUAAAACUAUUCGAAUAGCCGUGCCCGUGGUUAUGGGUGAGUUGAGCAAUGUUUUCGUGAUUAGUCUCAUACCUCUCACAAUAAUUAUUGAUGCAAUAAUUGGUAAUAAUUUGCUUAGCUCCUGGUUCGGAGUUAGAUCUGUACAGCUCGGUAUGGUUGUUCAGAAUGGUUGGGCCUGAGCAGCAUGGGCGUGUGUUAACAACCAAAUUUGGUAAUAUCGGCAUCGGGAAAGAAGAUUAGAUCGAAGCAAAGUCGGAGGCGGAGAUCGAGUUCGGAAACAUAGCAGGAAUCGGCUGGAGUCCAGUUCGGCUACGAUUAGGAUCGGCUGGGUCUGAGUUGGGCUAGGUAAGCCGAUGCAGCCGAUUCCGACAAUGCAACUUGAUGAAUGACAUCGGGUUGAAUUGAGGUGCUUCAAGGUGAUUGCUGCACAUCGAUAGAGUCCUGAGAAGGCAAUUGUAUCUAUUAAUUAAGAUGUUUUAUGUAAUUUCCUUAGAGAUAUGCUUGGGCAAAAGUCUGCCGCAAAGACUUAUGGUAUCUUAGAGUUUGUUAGAGAUAGUAGUCGUGUCCGUUAUGGACAUAUCUUGUAAUUCUCGGGUAUAAAUAGACCCGAGCCCUAUGUAACUUUUAACACACACGUUCAAUACAAUUUCGGCGCAUCGCCACCCUUUUUGCUUUAGUUUUAUUUCGACGAGUUCUUACUUUCGGGUUGAGCUACAUCGGUUUCGAUCUUCAACAAGAGGUAAAACUUGUUAUGGCGGCUUGCGUUUUCGGGAUUAGUGCUUCCAUCUUUAUGACACUCUAAUCUUGUUUAUGUAAUUCGUCGAGUUAUCAUAUAUCCUACAUAAUCCUUGGCAAUAUCGAUAUCUGACCUAUAAUCGGCUAACAUCCGUCAAUAGAAGGCAGCCGAUUAGGUUAAAUACCGAUGUUUACUUAGAUUAUAUAGGAUAUCUACCACUCUAUGACACAUCCAACAGCUUGAUUGUCUAGAUAUUGUCCUCCUUUUCAUACUUAUAGCUGCAUCAGUUAAGUUUGAUAUUAUGAGUUGUGAUUAGAAUCUCAAUCUCUAGCCCGCUUAUUGGUUGCUGAUUAGGGUAGUAUCGGACUUUCAGCCAAUCUUGCCUGAUUUAACUACUUUUUAUCCUAUAUGCUUGAUUGACAUGUUAAAUCUGCCCUUUACGUUAAGAUCUUGCUGCAUUUAAGUAUAUUAAGCUUUUGUUUAGUAUAUUCUACUUGCUUUAAUAUCUUAAUAUAGAGUGGUAUCGGAGUAUUAGCCGAUACAUGCUAGAUCUAUCUGAUCGGCUAUGCUAUGAACGUAUAUAGUCUCAUUAUUAAUAUAUAUUUCGAUCUAAGUGAUUUAUACUGCCUCGGCAUGGCGACGGAUCUAUCCCAAUCACUUGAUUUAAGUAUAUAUCGAUAUAAAGAUUAUAUAUUGGUAAUAUCUGCAGCCGAUCGAGUAGAUUCAGUCCUUUCUUAUUUAUUAAUGACUGCCGAUCGAUGCAUAUACGACAUCGGCUCAAAGAUAAAUGAUAUGUCAUCGGCACCUCGCCGAUCGGCUAUCAUUUAUAGAUUUAACUGCGAUUUAUUUAUCAAAUCAACUGGCACGCUCAUACAUUCGAAGGCGAGCUUUGGACCUGCACUGGAGUUAAGCAGAUCUCCCAGGCCUUGUGUUUUCUGUCAACACGCUUUUGGCACACCUGGUGGGACAUUUAAGAAGUCAGCCAACAAUUCUUCCUCAUGGCCGAGAAACCACCACCAUCCCCAGCUAGCCCAGGCUCUGUUAAGGAAAAGAUGCUGAAAUUAGGGUUGGCUGACGUCAAUGAAGGAAAUGUCGUGCCGAUCGAUCCAGAAAAAUUCACACCUGAGCAGAAGAAAGAGUUUGAAGCAAUGUUGCAGCAAGCACGGGAUCAGUGCUUGAACUCAUUCAUGCAGACCCGCAAGGGGACACUUGUUCAGAAGUACAAAAUAAAAGUGGUUGCUGAUGAUCCGGGGACCAGUUCUUCUAAGGAUGGAGAUGGGAAACAAGCUCCAGACGGCUCGGCUCAGCUGAGUAACAAAAGUGCUACCGACAGCUCUCUAGGAAAUCAAGGUGACAAUUCUCAAGGAGUCCAUGGAGUGCAAGGUGACGGGGUGCAUGGAGUUCAAGGUGGUGGUGCCCGAGGGUUGCAAGGAGGGGAUCUUAAUCAGAAUAGUGAUACGACACUGUAACAUACCCAAAAUUCUAGGACUUAAAAAUUUGUUGUCAAAAUUGUUAGAAGAUAACUUCUCCAAUUUUGAGAGCCAAAAAUUUCCGUUUUAAUUUAGGUGAUGACCAACUUAAACCAUUGCAUGAUUAAAAUUUGAGAACAAAAUAAAACCUUUUCAUUCCCAGCAUUAGACUAGAAAUGUCAUCAAGCAUUUGAGCAUACAUGUGCAUAAUGCAUGCCUAGGCUUGAGUCCAUUGUGCAUUUGGUUUUGGUAUCGCUUUUCAUAAUAGAUCUCAUGAGCAUAAACUAAAAGGGUUAAAACUACUAAACAAAACUAUAGUUAAUAUUGGGUGAUAACAUGUGGACUUAAUAUUAAAUUCUAAUAUCAUUUUCUCAGCCCAAAAGAAGUUUAAUGUAAACCCUAUAAUAGUAUUAGAUGCAAUUAUGAAGUAGGAACACAUAUUCAAAGAAAGGUUAUUCUAAUUCUUUAGAAUAAUCUAUGCAAGAUAAAAUCAUGGAAAAAUUUAUGUAAACUAUGUUUAGCUCAAGCAAUUCACUAUAAUAUUGGUACAGGUUAAUAACUAAGUUUAAUACCACAAAUUAAUCAGUCAAAGCAGACAACUAAAAUAAAUCAAAUUAAACUUUAAUCGGCUAAAGCGAUACUUCAUCCAAAAGUAUAUUUAACUGCACAUAAGUGAAUAUAGAAAAUAAUUUAUUCAAAUACUAGAUUAUUUAUCAUGCCUAAAUAUAAUUUUUCUAGAAUUUUUCUCCUCUGUUUAAGCCUCCUAAAAAUUCAAUCUAGAUUUCUAAUAGCCCUUCUUUGUUUAAUUUCUGUGAGCAAUCUACCCAUUAUUUUUAAGUGCAACCAAAGAAAAUGGAAUCUACGUGUAAUCAUUUACCUCCAGUAAAAUCAACACUAAUUAAUUUGAUCGACACAUUAAAUUAUGGAGUUACAAAUUUAGAGGAGAAAAUAAUUCCGAAAAUUAAUCUAAAAAUCAAGUUUACCCAGUCUUCUACCCAUAUCUCUCUCCCUAGCCUAGUUUCCAUCGAGUUGGCCCCACUUGUCAGUGCCUUAGGCUAGCUUUAGCCCUGUCCAUCACUUCCUCCACUGCUCCAGCCGAGAGAGGGAGAGAUUGAGUGAGCCGACGCGUGGCCACAACGUGUCGUCGAUCUCGGUUUCCCUUUUCUCGCUCUCUACUCCUCCCAGACGCGUCGCCAUUCUCCAUUCAACACUCAGAGCUAAAGAAACCGAGGGAGGAGGUUCUCUGCCUCUCCAUCGCUCCAAACCUUGCCGCCGGCCAUGGAGACGACGACCAUCGCCAUCUCCAUUUGAGUCAAGGUCACCUCCAUCUCUUUCGCGUUCCCAUCUCUCCACACAAUGCCGAGCAUUUCCUCUUUUGACCUAAACCCCUCUCGUGCAGUGCAUCGCCGGGAACGCAAGCCACGCCGACAACGCCCUGGAGCACGCACCGGAGCGCCGCCGCUUCAACCAUCGUCGUCGUCCGGCCAUUCUCGACCACCUCGGAGCAAGCCGCUGCGCCAUCGUCAUCGCCUCAACCUCCUCUUCAAUACGCCUCAAGAACCCCAGCUGGAGAUGUGAAGGACUCGGAGAACGCAUCUUUUCUUCACCGGCGCCAAUCUAGAAUCGCCUCCGCCGUCAUCGUCGAUUACCGCUGCCUCGGUGAGCCAUUGUUCGAUUCCUCGCACAUACACCAUCUCCUUGACCUCACAAACCUUGUGCAUGCUUGCUUGUAGCAGCUCAUGCGAGCCGUCGUCGUUCACCCGAGGAGGAGUGCCGUCGCCGAGCCGUUCCACAAGUCACCACUACCGCCAAGACCUUGACAACCCUAGCUCGACCCAUGGUGAGCAUUCUGAAGGCUAGAAGACCACAUGCAUGCAUCCUUUUUGUUCGGAAUCGACUUCCAUCCACACAUGCGCUUUCACCCCAAGAACCACCGCCGCUCACACUCGCCAUUGGCGCUACUCCAAUGUCCCCUAACCAAGAAAACUAGAGGAAUGGAAUCGCAAGAACAUGCUCUUCAUUUAUCUUUUAACCCCAACUCCAACCGAGCCACCAAUCGCCGCCGGUGAACCCGGGAUCGAGCUCAGCCAUGGCUGCUCUGCCUCUGUGCGUGUGAAAAAGGAGUCAGGGACUUCAUUUUGAGAAUUUAAAUAACUAUAAGGUUCAUUACGUAAUGUUCCCAAUCAAUGACAUAUGGACCUAGGACUGCGGGUUGAGUUCCUGAAACCCUAGGGGCCUUUUUGCAUAUUGGCCUGAUACUGACAGGAGAACCCCAUGAGUUUAAAAUCUGAAAAAAAAUGUAAAAAGAUAAUACUAAAAGUUUUGUAUUUUCAACAGGAAAGCAUGUAAACUUAUAAAAUCCAUAACAAAUUGAAAACAACUCAUUUUAGAAAAUCCAUAACAAAUUGAAAACAACUCAUUUUAGAGUAAAUCAAAUUUCUGUGAACUCACCAAAUCAUGAACUUUAGAGUUAUUGCAUAAAACUACAUUCACUGUACAAACUUUGUCUCUAAAAUUGGUCUAAGAUAAAUCAUACAUAAAGCAUACACAAACUUAUAAAAUACAUAGAAAAUUCAUCUCAACUCAUUUUGAAACAAACUCAAAAAAACUGCAGAUUCAUCAUCAUGCACUCUCUGAUUAGGUGAAAUAAAAGUAAUUACUUACUUUGCAUCAAAUGCCUCUAAAACUAUUAUCUCUAUAAUGAUUAGUUUUAGAUAAGCUAAACUUUAGAAAUUCAUGUAGAACCCAAUUUAGCUUCAAUUUGAAUAAACUUAAGUUCUGUAGGAUCACCAAAACACGUAUUUCCAUGUUAUGAAAUAAGAUUAUAUACUUACUGUGUGUAGUAAAAGUCUCUAAAUAUUCAUAAAAGGAUUUACUAACAUAGAGCAACCUUUAAUUUGGCAAAACUUGUAGAAAAUUCAUUUUUAGUCCAAAUGAAAUGAACAAAGUUUCCAUAGAACUAGCAAAUAGUUAUCUUCAACAUAGUAAAAUAAAAUUUGGCACCUUUUGUAGAGAACAUAGAUCAAAACCUUAACUUAGUGAAAUAAGAAUUUAAACACAUAGUGUUGUUUAAGUAAUACAUAAACAUGUAUAAGUAUAUAUACACUUUAGGUCUAAUUAAACCUAAACAAAAACUUGAUUGACCAGUAAAGCCAUAGUUCCAUCCUCAUCCACUAAAACUUAGAAGAACUUAGCUCAUAUGACAAUUUCUAGGUUAAUAUAAUAUAUUGCUAGUUUAGAUUAGAGCAUCUCUAGCGUAUAAAAUAUGAACCAUAGUAGUAAAGACCAUAAACAUGUGAAAUAAAAAUGUUUUAGUUAACCAAAUUAGUCCUUUUAUUCAACUUAAACAGGAAGUAGCAUGUUCUGAACCUACAAAUUGAGAGUCAUGCACAUAUAAAACACUAUAUGCCUAAAACACGUUGUAACUUGUAAAAUCUAUAAGAAAAUCAUUAUAACUCCAAAAAUUGUGAAACCAAAGGUGUUAGUCUUAGAAAACACAUCUCCACACUCCUGUCAAGUCUAAUAUAAUAGAAAUCACUUGACAAAAGUAUUUUAUAACACUACCUAAGACUAUACUACUAUAAACCGAUAAAACUUCUAAAAAUUCAUAACUCCCUAAUGGAAUAAGAUAAAAUAAAAAUUCUUUCACCUAAAUUCAUUUUAGAUCAGUACCAAACCACUGUGCAUAAAUAAUGCAUUUUAGAGCAUUUUGGAUUUUUAGCUCUUUCGGUGUUUAAUUGCAUAUCGUGUCCUUUAUCUAGAUAAUUGCAUAAUCGGUGAAGGAGUGGAUUAGGUGCUAACAUUUCUCUGAUCAAGGCAAGUUUUCUCCUCCCAUCCUUUGAACACAUUGAAUCCCAUGAUUUGAGGAAUGAAAAUGUUUGUUUGCAAAGCUGCAUGUGAACUUAGAUUAUAUCGGUAUUUAAAAUUGGGUUAUGGUAGUUAUGACCUAUUUGCUGCAUACCCCACCUUGAAUAAUUGAUCCUCUUGCUGUUUGAACCCCUAGAAAUGGUUAGAGUACACUCUUUGUGCUCAAAUGGGUUUAUAUAUGCUCUAUUUGUAACUACUUGCUUAGCCAUGCUUAGAACUAUGCAAAUGCUCAUUCCAUCUAUAAUUAAAAUAUGAUUUUGAUAUAUGAACCUUUGCUGGAAUAAAAUGAAUAUGAUGGGUAUUUGCGAACUAAAAUGUGUAAAAUGUGAUUUUAUACUUGGGCGGCAAGUGGUGUGCAUAUGGUGUUAGUUGCAUACCGAUAGGGGGAGUGUUUGCCCAAGUCCAUAAGGACCGAACUUGUGUCACCCAUUUAAAGUUAUUCGUACAUCCACAUGUGCUAGUAUGGGAUGGCCUAAGCUGAGUAAUCUAUUUAGGACUAGCCUUGCAUUCUGGUAGGCCGGUGUGUAUGAGUUCGUAUAAUUCAGAGGAGCUUCCUAUUUACCCCGACGUGGUAGUUUAGGUGACUAAGUGUGUCCAAUACAACGGUAUUGUGCCACGUGGUGGGUUCCUGUCGUGUCCGCCAUCACGGCGUUAAGUUUAAGGCGUGGGCCCGUCACUUAACGGUUCUAGGUAUAUUCCAAAGUAUGCCUAGGAUGGAGGAACACGUAUCGUGCUGGUGCAAGGCUAGGCUCUAAGUAGUGUAAAGGCUUCGUUAUGACCUCUAGAUCACAUUCAACAUGAAGAGUGUGGUGGAGUCUUGCAAACUCAAAACAAACUAGAGAGUUCAUAUCAUGUGGGUAAAGUUGUACAAACUCUGCAGAGUUCUUUAAACUAAUCGAUUAGCCGUGCUCACGGUCAUGAGCGCUUUGGUGAUGUGUCAUGUGUAUAGACUAUGUUUUAAAAAUGUGAUCAUGUGACAUUGGUUUGAAAUGGAUAAAUGUGUUGAGUUGUGUGUGUGGUGAUACAUUAUGACUUAUUGUUAAGUAUGGCAAUAAGAGAUUGAUUAUGAUGGAAUUAUGAAGAAGUUAAUAAUGAAACUUAAAACUUGUUUUGUUAAUUGAAGCAUCAACUUCUUUACAAAAGAAUUGCGAAACAAAACUUGCUUUAUGCUGAACAUGAACUACAUAUUGCCUUCCUUUGAAUAUAUGCCUUACAUGUAGUAUGGUAGGAUUGACUUGUGCUUGCCAGUACAUUAACUUGUUUAAUGUACUGACUCUUGCUGUUGAUAUAACCUUUUGUUUGCAGGUUUAGACUUAGUCUUUGAAUGAUGCGGGUCCUGAUUGCUUCUUCUAGGAUGAGAACUUAAUGGGGUAAACCCCUAGUCGGUGUGCUUGUGAUUGGGUAGUCAAGCUUCCAUUGUUCUCUAAUAAGCCUAUUUGGCCGGUCGGCCUAUGUAAUUAUUAAGUUGUUGUAAGUCUUAAGUUUCUUUCAUCUUAGUUGUGUUUGCUAUGUAUAAUCAUGCUUAAGAUGAAAGUGUGAAUCUAGUGCACAUCCUGGGAACUAGAUUCACAUGAGUAUGAGUUAGGAAUAUUUGAGAGGUUGUAGAUCUUUAGCCAUUUUUGUCAAGUCUCCUGAAUGUGUAACGCAUCUGGUCGCUGCCUUCGAGUGGUUUGACGGGCACAUCUCAGGCUGAAGUUGACUGGCAGGCUAAGGGCCCAGCAAUGUCUCCAAUAUUCCUCUCUCGAGGCGUCGGAUGUUUCAUUAUGCUUGUUGGAUGACUUGAAUUAUUCACUUCAUCUCUCAAAUAUAAUGGAAGAUCCGGAGAGCCUACGACAGACACAAGGUUUUUUCAGUAAUUUCCAAGAUCGGGUCGACUACGCUGUGCAUCAUGUUUUGAUCAAUCAAUCUGGGGUGUUAGUCAAGACCUUAUCAAACAUGAUGAAGUCCAUAGCCGAUGGUUCAAUAGCUGAGCAUCAGGCUGCAGGCCCGGUUUAUUUGCAAGGAGGUGUCUUUCCAAAUUAUCGGUCUUUGAUUACCGAUGUUCAGCCAUCAACUCAGGCGGUUCCCUCUGUUGCACCAACAUCUCAGCCGAAGGCACUGGCGUCAAUUCCCCUACCUGUUCCGUCAGCAAUGGCGCCAGGCCAGCCAGUGAACCCUCAGUUGUUAAUGAGAGAGCAGCCACAGCAUGGUGGGCAGGUUGCGAAUCGGCUGACCCAAGAUCAGGUUGCUGCCACGUUUCUGCCGCCUCAACCUAUUGUUGAUCCAAUACAGCAGCAUCCGAUUCAGCAGACACCCCCAAUUCAGCAGGUUGUGCAACCAAUCCAGCAACAGGUCAUGCAACCAGUUCAGCAAACACCACCAAGGCAGCAGCCUCUGCAGCCGACUCAGCAGACGCUGUUAAGACAGCAAAUCGUUCAGCCGAUCCAGCGCCAAGGUUCAAUAGGUGCAUCGGCCGGGUUUGCAACGCCUGGUGGUCAGCCUGUGCAACAAUUUUUAAAUCAAGUUGUCCCAGAACACUUGGUUCACCACGUACAGCCGGAUGGCACAGUAAUACCUCAAGUUGUUCCUGAGCAUUUGGUACGUAAUAUCCAGCCGAACCUUCAUAAUUACUAAGGGGUAACUUGAAUUACCAAUAUCAACCUCCUUCCCUGCAAGCCCAAUAUCAGCCAGGGGGAUUGGCUCAACCUCAGUUUGCGCCUCAAUACGGUCAGUUCGAGCCCGUGCAGCAACAGUCAUAAGGGGUAGCUCAGCAACGACCGUGGGCUGAUGUGAUUGCUGACGUAAUGAGGGAACAAUUUGGGCUUAAACCAAAAGAGACAGGAAGCUUGUAUCGGCAGCCUUACCCUGAGUGGUUUGAGAGAGUUCCUCUUCCCAAUCGGUUCAAAGUUCCGGACUUCUUCAAAUUUUCAGGACAAGAUGGUGUGUCAACUUAUGAGCACAUUAGCCGAUUCUUAGCUCAGUGUGGUGAAGCAUCGGCUGUAGACGCUCUGAAGGUUAGGUUAUUCCGGUUAUCUUUGUCUGGAUCGGCUUUUACUUGGUUUUCUUCUUUGCCGUAUGGGUCGAUCAAUAGCUGGGCCGAUUUGGAGAAGCAAUUCCACAGCUAUUUCUACAGUGGGGUUCAUGAGAUGAAAUUAUCUGACUUGACAGCGAUUAAGCAGCGGCAUGAUGAACCUGUGCACGAGUAUAUUCAGAGAUUCAGGGAGAUGAGGAACAAAUGCUUUAGCUUGAGUUUAACUGAUGCCCAGUUAGCCGAUUUGGCUUUUCAGGGUACGAUUGCUCCGAUUAGGGAGAAAUUCUCGUCUGAGGACUUUGAUAGCUUGUCACAUCUGAUACAGAAAGUAACCUUGCAUGAGCAUAGGUCCGCAGAAGUUAGGAAAAACUCUAAGAAGGUUAAUCAUGUUUGUCCGUACAUGUAUGGAUCGGAUGAUGACGAGGACGAUUCUGAAAUAGCUGCAGCCGAGUGGGUGAGGAGUAAAAAGGUCAUACCAUGCCAAUGGGUAAAAAGUUCUAGAAAAGAGGAGAAGUAUGAUUUUGAUAUUACUAAAGCCGACAAGAUCUUUGAUCUGCUACUCCGAGAGAAGCAAAUUCAACUUCCUGCUGGUCAUACAAUCCCAUCGGCUGAGAAAUUAGGCAAAAAGAAGUAUUGCAAAUGGCAUAAUUUUGGGUCCCAUUCUACUAACGAUUGCAAGGUUUUUAGACAGCAGAUUUAGGUGGCCAUUGAGGGAGGCAAGAUUAGGUUUGAUGAUUCCAGAAAGCCGAUGAAGGUCGAUGGUAAUCCUUUUCCUGUUAAUAUGGUGCAUACAGCUGGCCAAACAGCCGAUAGGGCCCGUGCAAGGGGUUUUCCGGUGAAUUCGGCUAAGAUUAUCAACAAAUAUCAGAAGAAGUAUGACAAGCAGCAGGAGAAGCAUCAUGAGAAAUACGAUGAUGGUUUUGAUCCUCAUUGGGGUUGUGAGUUCUUUAGAUUCUGCUGGAAUGAAGGUAUGAGGUUGCCAUCUAUUGAAAACUGCCCUGGGUGCAGUGAUAUCGUCGAGAACUCAAGCCGAUCAUAUGAUAGGGGCAAUCGGCUAAGGCAGACAAGAGUUUCUGUUCAUCAAAGAUUGGGUCCAGUAAAUCAAGAUCAUGGCCAAAAGGACCAUGUAAUCAGGAAUAAUCAAUGGUGUCCUUCUGGUAUUUUCACGAAGAAUCAGAAGAGAAGGGUUCAAUGAUUGAGGAACAGGGAGCGCCUUCAAGAGGCUGAACAAGAAAUUAAUCAUCGGCUGAAGAAAGCAAAGCCAAGGCAGGAGUGGCGUGUUAAGAAUCAGGUUCCUGCAGUCGAUGAUGUUGCAGCAGUUGAGGCAAAAAGGUAGGCAAAAGGGAAGAGUGUUGUGACGGCACCGGUUAACAUGGUCUUUACCCUGCCAGCCGAAUUCGGGAUCGACCAAGCCAAUGUUGACGAGGUGGAAGAGGAAUCGACUAAGUUGGUUCUGUCACUAGAACAGGCAGUGUUCGAGAAACCCGAGGGGACAGAGAAUCGGCAUCUUAAACCAUUGUAUAUAAACGGCUACGUCAAUGGAAAGCCGAUGUCUAAAAUGAUGGUUGAUGGUGGGGCCACGGUAAAUUUAAUGCCCUAUGCUACGUUUAGGAAGUUGGGUAGAAAUGCCGAGGAUCUCAUCAAGACAAACAUGGUGCUCAAAGAUUUUGGUGGCAAUCCAUCAGAAACCAAAGGUGUUCUAAAUGUGGAGCUGACAGUCGGCAGUAAGACUAUUCCUACCACGUUUUUUGUCAUCGAUGGGAAAGGUUCUUACAGCUUGUUGCUUGGGAGGGAUUAGAUUCAUGCCAAUUGUUGCAUUCCUUCAACUAUGCAUCAAUGUUUGAUUCAGUGGCAAGGCGACAAAAUAGAGAUCGUGCCAGCCGACAAGUCAGUUAAUGUUGCCAGUGCUGAUUUAGCUCUUUGGGAGAUGGAUAGCCUUGAUUGUUUAUCUGGAAAAGUCUGGGAUAGAGAUUUUCUAAAAGUGUCCGAUUCUGAUAUACAGCCAAUUGAAGAUGGAGAACCCAAGCUAUUACUUUGAGGGCGUCGUGGAGGGUUCAAGUGUCUACACUACGGACACGGUAGAUGAUCUCGAUGACAAGCAUGGUCAAGGUUUCAUGUCGGCCGAUGAUUUGGAAGAAGUGGACAUAGGUCCAGGCGAUCGGCCCAGGCCGACAUUUAUUAGUAGGAACUUAUCUCCAGAGUUUAGAACCAAGCUGAUAGAGCUCUUAAAAGAGUUUAGAGAUUGCUGAGCUUGAGAGUAUUAUGAGAUGCCUGGACUCAGCCGAUCGAUUGUUGAACAUCGGCUACCUAUCAAACCAGGGGUUAUGCCACAUCAAUAACCUCCGAGGAGAUGCAAGGCCGACAUGCUUGAACCGGUCAAGGCUGAGAUUAAAAGAUUAUAUGAUGCUGGUUUUAUUCGUCCUCGCCGAUAUGCUGAGUGGGUUUCUAGUAUAGUUCCUGUUAUCAAGAAAAACAGCAAGGUCAGGGUAUGCAUUGAUUUCCAAAAUUUGAAUAAGGCCACCCCAAAAGAUGAAUACCCAAUACCAGUAGCCGAUCAACUAGUUGAUGCUGCUUCGGGACAUAAGAUUUUGAGUUUUAUGGACGGAAACGCAGAAUACAAUCAAAUUUUUAUGGCCGAAGAAGACAUUCAUAAGAUAACUUUUAGGUGUCCUAGUGCAAUCGGCUUAUUUGAAUGGGUUGUCAUGACUUUCGGCUUGAAGAGUGCUAGAGCUACAUAUCAAAGAGCCAUGAAUUACAUAUAUGACGAUCUAAUCGGCUGGUUGGUUGAAGUCUACAUUGAUGAUGUGGUUGUUAAGUCCAAAGAAAUAAAGGACCAUAUAGCUUAUUUGAGGAAGGUUUUCGAGAGAACCAGAAAAUAUGGUCUGAGGAUGAAUCCGACAAAAUGUGCUUUUGGUGUAUCGGCUGGCCAGUUUUUGGGAUUUCUUGUCCAUGAGAGGGGGAUCGAGGUAACUCAAAGGAGUGUUAAUGCGAUCAAGAAGAUUCAGCCUCCAGAGAAUAAGACAGAAUUACAAGAGAUGAUCGGCAAGAUUAAUUUUGUUAGAAGGUUUAUUUCUAAUUUGUCUGGAAGGUUAGAACCUUUUACACCAUUGUUUAGAUUGAAAGUCGAUCAACAGUUUACUUGGGGGGCAGAGCAGCAAAAGGCUUUGGACAAUAUUAAGGAAUAUCUUAGCUCUCCUCCUGUUUUGAUUCCUCCACAGAAAGGAAUACCGUUUAGGUUAUAUUUAUCGGCUCGGUCUUGAUUCAGGAAUUGGAAGGGAAGGAAUGAGUUGUAUUCUAUCUCAGUCGUCGGCUCUUGCAUGCUGAAACUAGAUAUUCCCCUGUGGAGAAGUUAUGCUUGUGUUUGUAUUUUUCGUGUACAAGGUUGAGGCAUUAUCUACUGUCCAACGAGUGUACUGUUGUAUGCAAGGCCGAUGUUGUCAAGUACAUGCUAUCGGCUCCAAUAUUGAAAGGAAGGGUUGGAAAGUGGAUAUUUUUCUUAACCGAGUUUGAUCUUCGGUAUGAGUCGCCGAAGGCGAUUAAGGGACAAGCUAUAGCUGAUUUUAUUGUGGAACAUCGUGAUGAUUCAAUCGGCUCUGUUGAAAUAGUGCCAUGGACUUUAUUCUUUGAUGGAUCGGUGUGUUCUCACGGUUGUGGUAUCGGCCUAGUUAUAAUUUCCCCUAGGGGGGCAUGUUUCGAGUUUGCUUAUACUAUUAAACCGUAUGCGACUAAUAAUCAAGCUGAGUAUGAAGCAGUGCUCAAAGGGUUGCAAUUACUCAAGGAAGUUGAAGCCGAUACCAUUGAAAUCAUGGGGGAUUCUUUGCUAGUAAUCAGUCAAUUGGCAGGAGAGCAUGAAUGCAAGAAUGAUACAUUAAUGGUUUAUAAUGAGAAGUGCCAAGAACUAAUGAAGGAGUUUCGGCUGGUUACUUUAAAGCAAUUCUCUCGAGAACAAAAUAUUGAAGCUAAUGAUUUGGCCCAAGGGGCAUCAGGAUAUAAGCCGAUGAUCAAAGAUGUUAAGGUUGAAAUUGCAGCAAUGACAGCUGAUGAUUGGAGGUAUGAUGUGCAUCAGUAUUUGUGUAAUCCGUCUCAAUCGGCUUCUAGGAAAUUGCGAUAUAAGGGAUUAAAGUAUACUCUGUUGGAUGGUGAGCUAUAUUAUCGGACGAUUGAUAGUGUUACUUAAGUGUUUGGGUGCCGAUCAGGCUAAAGAUGCAAUCGGCGAAGUUCAUGAAGGAAUUUGUGGUACUCAUCAAUCGGCUCAUAAGAUGAAGUGGUUACUUCGGCGUGCAGGGUAUUUUUGGCCGACAAUGCUAGAGGAUUGUUUCAGAUAUUAUAGGGGGUGUCAGGAUUGUCAGAAGUUUGGGGCAAUUCAGCGAGCUCCGGCAUCGGCUAUGAAUCCUAUUAUUAAGCCAUGGCCAUUCCGAGGUUGGGGAAUUGAUAUGAUCGGUAUGAUAAACCCACCAUCGAGUAAAGGACAUAAGUUUAUAUUGGUGGCGACUGAUUAUUUCACCAAGUGGGUGGAGGCGAUUCCUUUGAAGAAAGUUGAUUCUGGGGAUGCAAUUCAAUUCGUUCAAGAACAUAUAAUCUACCGUUUUGGUAUUCCUCAAACUAUUACAACUGAUCAGGGGUCAAUCUUCGUGUCUGACGAGUUUGUUCAGUUUGCCGAUAGCAUGGGUAUCAAAUUAUUGAAUUCUUCACCUUAUUAUGCACAAGCUAAUGGGCAAGCUGAGGCGUCUAAUAAAAGUUUGAUCAAAUUAAUUAAGCGGAAAAUUUCUGAUUAUCCUCGGCAGUGGCAUACUCGGUUGGCCGAAGCGUUGUGGUCUUAUAGGAUGGCUUGUCAUGGAUCGAUCCAAGUCCCUCCUUGCAAAUUUGUUUAUGGGCAUGAGGCUGUUUUGCGGUGGGAGGUUAGAAUCGGCUCUCGAAGAACGGAAUAACAAAACGAUUUAACAGCUGAUGAGUAUUACAUCCUUAUGUCACGAUUGCGAGCCCUUGCAAAGGUUACCAAGGAUAAGGAACGUAUUGCUCGGCAUUAUAAUAAGAAAGUGGUACCUAAGGAUUUUUCGGAAGGAGAACUUGUAUGGAAAUUGAUUGUGCCGAUUGGUACUCGUGAUAGUAAAUUCGGCAAGUGGUCGCCGAAUUGGGAAGGACCGUUCCAAAUUUAUAAGGUUGUGUCUAAGGAAGCAUAUAUGUUGCAAGGGCUUGAUGGUGAAGUCUAUGGGCGAGUGCCCAAUGGCAAAUAUUUGAAGAAAUAUUACCCAAGUGUUUGGGUUAACGCAUGAUCGGCUAGUAUUGCCGAUGCAUGACAGCCAAUGUGUUUGCAUCGCCUUGAGAUGGCCGAUAUUGUUAUAUCGCCCUUAGUUGUUUUUUCAAGAGGUAAUCGGUUGUGAUUUGCCGAUGUACAAUGGCCGAUAUUGUUAUAUCGCCCUUAGUUGUUUUUCAUGGUGUAAUCGGUUGUGAUUUGUCGAUGUACAAUGGUCAAUAUUGUUAUAUCGCCGUUAGUUGUUUUAUAAUUUUAUCAAUGCUUUUGUCAUUGUAAAAUUAGGGGGGCACAUAUAUAUCAAAAUGCAAGAAUCAAAAUUCAAGACAAAAAUGCAAUGCAAAUUUUUUGAGGCAAUUUUUUUGAGCGAAUUUUAAAAGUCAUAUUAAUCGGCACAAAGGAUUGUCAAGACAAUAAAGUACUAGAGCAUCUUAGCUGAUUACAAAAAAUUUCUGAGUCCUAUUACACAAAGUUAUUGAGAGAAGUAUCGCUGGAUAGCCAAAAUAGCCCUUUGCCUGAUUUUUUCUACUUCUUCAAUAGCUUGGGCAUCUUGAGCAUCAGUUCCAGAGAUGACUUUCAGAGACUUGGUUAGGUCAGCAACAUUCUUGAUAGCCGAUUUGAGCCUUGCUUUUAUUCUUCAAUUGAUUUUGGGAGAUCGGCUAGCUUUUUGUGUUCUAUAUCUAGCUCGGCAUUGCAUUCUUCAAGUUGCACCAAGAGCUCAAUUUUGUGAGCUUCGAGCCAGUCAAUAUUGGAUUUGAUCGGACCUUCAGAUAGCUGAUCAAGUUUGGUUUUUUCUUCAUGCACAAGCUGCCGAUUAGCUUGGAUUGUGGCCUCAAUCUCUUUGCGAUCACGGCGUUCGGCUAGUCUUAGCUUGGCUUUUUCCAGCUUGAACUGAUGUUGCUCGAGAUAAGCGGCUGGAGUUAGGACAUCGGCCAGAUCUUCGGGAAUCAGAGCUUGAACUUCAUGUAGCCUUGUCCUAAUUGACCCACAGUCAACUACCAAAUUGUCUAAAGAAGAGGCUUCUAGCCGAUGAGAAAUGUCUUCAAGUGUUUUUCUCACAUCAUCGAAUAGGGGAGCUAGGGCUUUGCUUGAAGUGUCUUCUUCUGCUUCGUCAAGGUAAUCUCUGAUGUCAAAAGAGAAGAGAUCAGCUAGUGCCUGUAGAGACAAUUUCGGAAAGAAUAAGAGCUGGGUAAAUUAUAGCCGAUCUAAUUGUUGAGACAAAGGGAAACUUACUGGAAUAGCAGGAGCAGCUGGUUGUUCUUCCUCUUCGACGUGAUGACUCCCCACAGCUGAUGGAGUUUGAUCACUUGAAGAUUGCUGUACAGGAGGAGAAGGAGGAGGAGGCUGCGAAAUAGACAAGUGUUAUAUAGAAUCGGUUGAGAUUGAUUAAUUAAAAGGAUUAAGGACAUCUUUCUGGUGGAACCGAUUUAACAAUUGUUGCUGCUGUUUUUUUUCUUCACAGCAGUUUUCUUCUUCUGCAACCACAAAGUCUAUGGGUAAUUAGCUGAAGAGUGAGGUAAUUUCAGAAGAAGUCAGAGAAAGGUACUUACUCUUGUAAAAUGAACGGGGGCAGAAGGAGUUGGAGGCGUUUGCUUGGGUGAAGCCGAUGGUGUUCUUUCUAUGUCACUCAUUUCGGCUACAGCUUGGUCAACAUCUUCAUCAAUUUCCUCUUCAUCUAAAGCUUGUUCAAUAGAUGGAUCCAAGGCGGGCAGAUCAUCAGUCGACAUAUCAGUUGGUUGUGGUUGAGUUUUCUUGAAUUUGGUCUUUUUCUUUGGAGCCAAGGAUAAGGUACUCAUGGCUGAUGAUCUGGUUUUCCUUUUCUUGCCUGCGUCGGCUGGUUCCCUAGUUAGGCCGUGAAGGAGAGUUGAAGUCUUGGGGGCAUGGUAGCCGAUGAAAGGGGGAGAUAGUCCACCUCCAUUCGGAAUUAGAUCUGAAGCAUAUUCAAUGUUCUUGACACUGUUACUUUGAUGAGGAGGGGAGGACUCUGUUGUCUGCAAAACAGGAGUAAGAGGUCAGUCAAGUAAUGAAUCGGCUAACUGGUUAUGCAAUUUAGUAAUGACAAAGUUUACCGGGGCAUGAUGUCAGGGAAUAGAUCUGUCACAUACAUUGAAGCCGAUUGAUGAAAUAGAUGCAGCUUCCAUUCGCCCCACCAUCUAUCAAAGUUUUUGCUUCUAAAUCUUGCCAACUCAAUAUUAUCAAUACUGCCCAGAGGGGGUCCUGGUAGGUUAAGUAGCCGAUCCAUCAUUAGAGUGGAAGUGAUUUGUCCUCGGCACUGAAUCUUGUCGGCAAAGAAUAAGCCGAUUGGGAGUUGGCCCAAUCCAAGUUGUCUGGCCGAGCUCAUUGGGUGAUAAAACUCGUAAGAGACUUGGAUGUUUCUUCCUUGGUGAAUACCGACAGGGAGGAUGCAUGGGCUGAUUGCAGCUAUAAGAAUUUCUCUGGAUUUUUGGAAUUUUUUAUGGUUAAUAUCUUCAAAUCUAAAGUCUAAUGGAAGUUCAAGGUCUGCUGAGUCUUCGUAGGGAAACCAGAUUCGUGCAUCUUUCUUAAAACCUUCGUAGAAGCUGCAGAACCAGUCCUUGAGUAACUCAGCCGAUAGCUUCGCUCCAGCAUCGGUUGGUGUGGAUGCAUAUUCUCCAUAUGACAUGCAUCUGCGAUGGGUGCGCUCUUCUCCAUCAUCUUCCACAAUCGGCUCUGGCAAUGGGAAUUCAGCUUCUGUCACAGAGGGCCGAUUGACAACCUUCAUGACUACCAGGUUUAACCAAGUUUGCAGCAGCCACCAUGGUCCACCUGCUCCAACUAUUGAGCCGACGGCUAUUUUAGCCGAUGCAUUGUUCAACAUCUGGUACAGAUAGCCGAGAAGGAUUUUGCCCAAAGGAAAUUCUUUCUUUGAUUCUAAGGCUUCGGCUACGAAUUGCCAGUUGGUUGUAGAGCAACAACUGGAUCCACAGAAGAGGAAUUUUUCCAGCCAAAUAAGCAAGAAAGCUACAUGCUCUCGAGGGGUAACAGACCCUUGGCCCAUAUAUGCCGCCACAUAGCCAGACCAGCCACCUAUGCUUUUGGUCUUGAAGUUGAAUUGGUUCUUGGUGUUCAUGCUCAUAGGGUUAGCCGAUGAAGUUACAUCUAAUCCAGUAAUCAUGGUGAUGUCAAUUAAAGUUGGAGUCAUCGGCCCUUGGUUGAAUAAGAAAGCAUUAAUGGUGUUGGACUAGAAGUAGGUGGCGGCAGCCAUCAGAGGUUCAUCCUUAGUAGAAUUGGCUAUGGUGAGAGCGAGUGCUUGGCCGAUUCCAAUUUCAUCCCAGUGAACUUUCUUACUAGCCGAUACGCGUUGGUACUAGGUGGUCCAGCUCUUAUCAGGAGUAGGUUUUUCGAGAGAUGGCCAAGACUUGAAGGUAUUCUUCCAGUGACUCAGGUUAGGGUUGGCUAGUCUAAAGGGGAUCCGGUUAGUUUCACCGAUGAUGAAAUCAGUGGGGUCGAGAUUGCCGAUUGGGCCAAGAAAAUAGUGGUUUUUGUGUGAAAGGCUGGGAAUCGCGACUAGGUUGGAAAGGUGCUGCAAAUCCAAAGGAAUUGGGAAGUAGAAAACAAGAGGAGAAAAGGAGAAAUUGAGUUCAUGCGAGGAAAAGGGAACUAGCUGGUGAGGACUUACCUCAGCGUACUCAGCCGAUGGCGCAGUAGAAGGGCUGGUGGAAGACGACAUCGCCGCGGGCGGAGAUUUGGUUGGGAACAAAAUCGCCCGGGGAUCGUCUUGUGCGUCGGGGAGAUCACCGGAGAGAGAGAGAGAGGGCAAAGUUGGUUUCAGUGGCAAAAACGGAGGAGGACGGUGUGAGAUUUCUCGAGGGUAACGGUUAGUAUUUAAAGCACGGCAGUAACGGUCGGAAAACGGCAAAGUGUGAAACUUGCUCGGAGUCGAUUUACAGCAAAUCUGAAACUCUAUCGAAUAUUCCGGACUUCGGGGGCAUGUGUUAACAACCAAAUUUGGUAAUAUCGGCAUCGGGAAAGAAGAUUAGAUCGAAGCAAAGUUGGAGGCAGAGAUCGAGUUCGGAAACAGAGCAGGAAUCGGCUGGAGUCCAGAUCGGCUACGAUUAGGAUCGGCUGGGUCUGAGUCGGGCUAGGUAAGCCGAUGCAGUCGAUUCCGACAAUGCAACAUGAUGUAUGACAUCGGGUUGAAUUGAGGUGCUUCAAGGUGAUUGCCGCACAUGGAUAGAGUCAUGAGAAGGCAAUUGUAUCUAUUAAUUAGGAUGUUUUAUGUAAUUUCAUUAGAGAUAUGCUUGGGCAAAAGUCUGCCGCAAAGACUUAUGGUAUCUUAGAGUUUGUUAGAGAUAGUAGUCGUGUCCGUUAUGGACAUAUCUUGUAAUUCUCGGGUAUAAAUAGACCCGAGCCCUAUGUAACUUUUAACACACACGUUCAAUACAAUUUCGGCGCAUCGCCACCAUUUUUGCUUUAGUUUUAUUUCGAUGAGUUCUUGCUUUCGGGUUGAGCUGCAUCGGUUUUGAUCUUCAACAAGAGGUAAAACUUGUUAUGGCGGCUUGUGUUUUCGGGAUUAGUGCUUCCAUCUUUAUGACACUCUAAUUUUGUUUAUGUAAUUCGUCGAGUUUUCAUAUAUCCUACAUAAUCCUUGGCAAUAUCGAUAUCUGACCUACAAUCGGCUAACAUCCAUCAGUAGAAGGCAGCCGAUUAGGUUAAAUGCCGUUGUUGACUUAGAUUAUAUAGGAUAUCUACCACUCUAUGACACAUCCAAUAGCUUGAUUGUCUAGAUAUUGUCCUUCUUUUCAUACUUAUAGCUGCAUCAGUUAAGUUUGAUCUUAUGAGUUGUGAUUAGAAUCUCAAUCUCUAGCCCGCUUCUUGGUUGCUGAUUAGGGUAGUAUCGGAGUUUCGGAGUUUCAGCCGAUCUUGCUUGAUUUAACUACUUUUUAUCCUAUAUGCUUGAUUGACAUGUUAAAUCUGCCCUUUACGUUAAGAUCUUGCUGCAUUUAAGUAUAUUAAGAUUUUGUUUAGUAUAUUCUACUUGCUUUAAUAUCUUAAUAUAGAGUGGUAUCGGAGUAUUAGCUGAUACAUGCUAGAUCUAUCUGAUCGGCUAUGCUAUGAACGUAUAUAGUCUCAUUAUUAAUAUAUAUUUCGAUCUAAGUGAUUUAUACUACCUCGACAUGGCGACCGAUCUAUCCCACUCAAUUGAUUUAAGUAUAUAUUGAUAUAAAGAUUAUAUAUUGGUAAUAUCUGCAGCUGAUCGAGUAAUUCAAUCCUUUCUUAUUUAUUAAUGACUGCCGAUCGAUGCAUAUACGACAUCGGCUCAAAGAUAAAUGAUAUGUCAUCGGCACCUCGCCGAUCGGCUAUCAUUUAUAGAUUUAACUGCGAUUUCUUUGCUUCUAUUUCUUGUUGAUUACAGGAUCAAAUCAACUGGCACGCUCAUACAUUCGAAUGCGAGCUUUGGACCUGCACUGGAGUUAAGAAGAUCUCCCAGGCCUCGUGUUUUCUGUCAACAGCGUGUUGUUCAGAGUUGAAUAAAAUUAAUGAUUAAAUUACUCUACUGUUUCGCUACUCUUAAAUCUUUGCUAAAUGCUGCUUUUGCAAAUGAGCCUAUAUUAUGCCAUCCUUUGGUAUCCUUGUGGACUUGCAUAUUUGUUGUGUGGCUUGUUGAGUAUGUCAUAUGCUCAUUCUUGCAAUAAUCAAUCAACCUCAGUUGAAGAAAAAGGAUCCAGAAGGAGAAGACGUUUGGCUUAUACCCCAGUUGAGCUGCCUAUGGGGGUGAAGCUGGAGCUUCGCUAGAUUUUAUUUUUCCACAGCAGUUUUCUUCGUUGUGAGGACUAAGUGCCUCUUCAGUAAGUAUUAAUUGCUUUAGUUAUUUUGAUGUAUCUGUAUAUAAAAUUGUCAGUUUGUGUACCUCGGCUGAUUCCUGGAUGGGGAUUUUAUGCACAAAUAAGUUCGGAAAUUACUAGUGAAUUUCCGGGCGUGACAAGUUGGUAUCAGAGCCAUCUCGACUGUAGGAUAAGCCAAAUGGUCAGACUUUAAGGACAAAUUUUCUGAAAACAUGAUUUGUGAAAAAUUUUCUUUUCUUCCUUCUCUAAAAUUCUUUGCAAAUUGUUUUAUCGUUCUUUCCCCUCCCACUUUCAACUUAAGUAGUUGUUAAACUUAUUAGAGAAACUCGAAGACGUCGAUGUGGUCUACUUAUGGAGGUCAAGUCAAGUGAGUCGAGGAAAAAGAAGAUAAUGGUCGAACUGAAGUGCGGAGCUUUUGUGAUGGAGUGAAGUUUGGAUCCUACCUUAGAACCUAAACCACCAAAGUGACUUUGAAGUAUAGUCAGUAGGGUACAACGUUUGUUACUUGCUUGUGUGUAGGUAUGGUUGCAUUCCCAUCAUUGGGUGUGAUGAGCGUGUAAUUAUACUAGGUUGCUUGCUUAAUCAACUUAAACAAUAUAAUGGUUUACACACAUCAGAUCAGUGGUAACAUGGUUAAGGUCUCGUCUUUAGUGUGACCCCUCUCCUUCUAACUUUUCAAACUCUGCGACGGAUAAAAAAAAUGCAAGCUAUAGUGGGAACAACAACAAUGCUAGUGGAUCAGGAAGUUGGACCAAUGGAUCAAUUUAGGACAAUCACUUGGGCAGAGUUCACUGAAGCAUUAAAGAAGACACACAUAGCUGCAGGAGUUGUUUUUUUGAGGAAACGUGAGUUCAAGACACAAACAAAAGGAUGAUACCAUGACAGAGUACCUCCAUGAGUUCAACCGUCUAGCUCGCUAUGCUCUAGAAGAUGUGCGUACUGACGAAGAAAGGUAGGAGAAGUUCUUGGAAGGUCUGAAGGAUGAGCUGUUAAUUAUGUUGAUCCCUCAUGACUGCGGAUUUCAGGAGCUGGUUGUCAAAGCAAUUCGACUGGAAUAUAAGAAGAACAGGAUGGACAACCGUAAGAGAGGAAGGAUUGUUUCCCAGGAGGCACAGGGUAGUAGCCAAAGGCAGCGUACCAAGCCACUCCAAAUUGGUGAAUCUUCUUCUGCAUGUCAAGAACAAUUACAACAGUUGGACAUUAGUGGUGAGAUCAACUCAGAGACUAAUACAAGAAAUGAAGUUAACAUGGAGAAAGCUACUCAAUUAGUGCUAGUUCAGCAGGAUCAGUCUCAAGAAGGUAAUAGUAAUGGAAGGGAGCAGCAGUUGUGUUUCAAUUGUUAUGAGCCAGGUCACUUUGCAAGAGAGUGUUCGAAGCCGAAGCAUCAACAUCCACAAGGUCAAGUCAACAACAUCAUCCUCACAGGAGCAAAUGCAGUGCCGGUUGCGUCUUCAAGUGAUACAGCUCAGCGAUCAGUUUCAAAGCAGCAGUAGUUUUUUUAAAGCCUUAGAAUAAUUAUUGGAGCUAGGGAAUAAGAUAGACUGCAGUUUUACCUAUUUCCUUUUUCUUUCUAGCCGUUCCGAAUCUCGAGACGAGAUUCUUUGUAAGGGGGUAGAUUUGUCACAUCCUGAUUUUCGUUUUAGGAUUUAUAAAUUAUCUAAUAAAUUAUUAUUAGAAUUUAUAUUAAAUGUUCAUUAAUUUACAAGUGAAGUUAAAUGUGGAAAAUAAAAUUUCCUAAAUAUAAAGCAUGGAUGGAUUUAAUUUUUAUUCAAUUCUCCAUGGUUAAUUAUACUCUCUGGAAUUUUCUCGGAUUUUUCGGAGCUCAACUCUUAAUUUUAAUCAUACAAACAAUAUUUCAGUAAUUAUCCACAUAUUAAAUUAAUCAUUAAAUGGUCUGGUUUUAGUAUUUUUAAAUACUUUGAGUGUCCAAGUAUGUUCAAGAUUUUUCUUGGAAUUAUUUGAGCAUAGGAAGUAUUUUUAACAAUUCAAAGAUCAUUUCAGUGAUUAAUUUAAUUGAAAAAGUAAUAAAAAAUCCUCCUCCUCAGCUUGGGCCCUUUUCAGCCCAUUCCCUCUCCGCUCUCCUUUCCUUAGCCGCAGCAGCCCACUCUCCCUCUUUCUCUUGGCUGAAGUCCAUUCAGGUCCCUCCUUCAGUCGGGCCGGAGAAAAAGUAAGCCCAGACAAAGUCUACUUUACCUCCCCGGUACUGUUCAUCUUCCAGCUCCAGACAGAGCCCGAGCCAGCCGUCCCGAGAUUGUGCAGCGCCGUUUUCUCCUCCAAAUCUAGUCUCCUCUCUCGUGUUAUUUCAAAAUUAGUUGAGGGGAAAUAUUCCUCUUAUGCUUCUCUAUCUUUUUCCCCCAAGAAUCGGACUUUAUCCCGAAGAAAUCAACGCGGAAUCGAGCUCGAUUCGUGUUUAUCUCUCCACCAAACCCUAGGUUUUCCUGGCGCGAUUCCUUGCGUUCCAAGCGCGAUCUCUCUCUCCCAUGGCUAUAAAUAGAGUCCCCUCCCUCUCCUCUUUCGGCCGCCACCUCUCCCUCUCUCCGCCGUCGCUUGUAGCGCCGUCGCCGCGUUCGUCUUCUCUCUCCGCCGCCCGCAGCCGCUCCAGCCGCCGUUUGCCGCCGCCUCGGCCGUCGCCCUCCUGUGCCGCCACCUCUCUCGGCUCCGCAAGGUCAAGAGCAAGCCCGGCAGCCGGUUCCCUUGCGCCGAAGACCCCGGGAAGCCCAUCGUCGCCAUCAACCCGAAGCUCGCCGUCGUGUUUUGAUCUCCGGCGAGGCUCUGCAGCUCCUCCCGUCAUCGCCAAGCUUCGCCGCCGCCUCCAUUGGAUUCGCAGCCGCGAAGUGAAGCCCGGCCACCCCUCCAUUGUCGCCGAAGGUCGCCGAAACACCGUCGCCGCCGUGGACAGUACCUCGCUGCCAUCUCGAUCUCGUCGCCGGCCAUCUUCCGUCACUGUCUGUCAUCACGUAAGUGUUGGUAAGAAUCGCCGUCGCCUUCUCUACCUCUCGGUGCCCUCUGUUUGCAUUGUUGUGUUGUGGUUCGCCGGCAACCGCCGCACCUAUGUCGUUCACCGGUGUAGUUUAUCCCUAGGGUCUUAAUUCAAUAUAAUCUAAUCCGUGGUUGAUCUAGCGCGUUGUCAUCUCCGUGUGUUGCUGUCGGAACGUUGUCAUCAUCCCUUCCUCUCCGAUCGCUUUGGUUCGGUGCGACUUCUAUCCGUUCUCUCUUUUCAAUGGUAUAUUAUUUCUUUUUAAUAUAUGUCAUCUACCAAAUAUAAUCUAAUCUUUUUCGGAGGUCGUUUUAAUCUUUUCUCUCAGUUAUAAAUCAUUUGUAAAUGGUUUAAUUAAUUUGGAAUAGUCUUUUCUUUAAUAUGUUUAAUUGGAAUUAAAUCUUAUAAAAUUCAUAUCUAAUUCAUAUGAAGUCGGAAUGAGGCCGUUCAAGUCUCUAAAUUCAUCUAAAAUCAUGAUUUACAUGUUUGUUUACAUUUUAUGUACUGUUUAUUUGGUUUUUAUUAGUUUUUUUCUCCGUUUUGCGUGUUAGCUUGUCGUUUCCGUUGUUGCGAAGGUUCGCGAGUGUGUUGGAAGUGGUUCUGAAGACUAAUUGAAGACUGAUUAUUGCAAGGCAAGUCACACAGAUCCCAAACAUGAUUCCUUUGAGCAUGUUGAUCCUAUAUUUAAAUUCUCUAUUUAUUUCAACAAUGCAUUUAUUUUCGAAUGUCACCGGGUGGUGUGAACAUAUUCCUUUGUUAUGGCCAAUUUGUAUUGAAUGCCCUAUUCCUUGAUACCUUGGGUAAUAAAUUGAUUAGCUUGAACCUUAUGUAUUGGUUUGGUUCAGCUAAAUGCUAUAUAU